Molecule: unclassified non-coding RNA, 965 nt
Filed under: Daphnia magna
Lineage: Eukaryota; Metazoa; Arthropoda; Branchiopoda; Diplostraca; Daphniidae
Description: uncharacterized LOC116927236, transcript variant X1
Source: RNAcentral
UCCCGGUGCAGUUAAGUGUAGAUUUGUCGCUUUCAAUCCCGGUGCAGUGAUCCGCACGUUUUUACAUGGAUUCAAAUUGAGGGCAAUCUCUGGAGGCGGAAGAGGGACAUCGGCAUCGCUGCCAAAACCAAUAAGAUCAUCGCCAAGGAUUGUAAGGCAUUAAUUUUUAAGUUUCAAAUGUUUACCCAUAUUUUGUUUUUUAUGUACCUAGGAGAACCACAUCACCACCGAAGAGAACUAUUGGUCCCUAGAGUGGUCCGAUUACGGCAGAUCUAAACGAGGUCUAAACCUAGCAGUUUUCGCCUUUUCACCCGCCAGAUGGCGCACUAACCGCUUCUGUGACGGUGACUCAGGAGGCUGUCCCGCUCUUCAUCAAAAGCAGACGAGACUCACACGUGGGCUUUGCGAGAAGCUAUUUCCUCGUUGAGAAAUAUGGCACUCGAAGAGGUCGAUCUGUUUCUCAAUUAGGAUCAUUCUACGAAUCCUUCAGCCACGCUAUCCUAUGAUGAGAAACCCUUACGACAUUCCAACAACGCGAUGAAUGGUAUGCAGGAAGCAAUGCAUGGCAAUAAACAAUGCACCGUUUGGCAUGCAGGAAGAAUAGCGGAGACGACUAUGAUGAACUUCCCAGUUUUGACUACUGAACUAGAAACCGUUUUAUAGAACCAUUCACAUGGUUUUGUCUCUCUAUUAUUUCAUUUUAAAAAUGCUAUUGAAAAUUGUUUUUUAUCCGUCAUACGUCAAAAUAGCAAAUCUUAAUUCGUUGUAAUGCAUGAACUCGUUAGCCAAUAAUGUUUGAAGAAGAUGUUUUCAUCUUUCUGCAAUGCGGCAACACAGCAUUGCAUGUCGGAUCUGUGAACGUUUGACAACUCAUUGGUGUUGCAAUAGGUUAAUAGUUUUGUGUCAAUUAAAAUUUCAAUGUAACUGCUGUGUCAAGCGAAAUCUGCAUGUGUCGUGUCAUUGUU